RNAcentral lists this long non-coding RNA (293 nucleotides) under Gallus gallus (chicken). The record is from RNAcentral. Lineage: Eukaryota; Metazoa; Chordata; Aves; Galliformes; Phasianidae.
GGAGAUGACGUUGCGUGGACCAGAGGGGACGCUGGUGCAGGCAGCUGUCGGUGGGUCCAGGUCAGCCCGAAAGUAGCCAUUGCGGCAGGCGCAGAGCGGUGAGGCCUCAGCGCUGGAGCGGCUGUUGGGGGGACACGGGGCACACAGCCCCGCACCCUGACUGGCUUUGAAUGUCCCAGCCGGGCAGGCUUUGCAAGCCACGUUGUUUUCCGGCUCAUAACCAGCCUUGCAGGUGCAGCGACCUAUGGGUACCAUCCACUCCCCAUCCCCGUUGCAGUACAGCUUGAUGGGCA